UACGGAGGGGGGCUAGCGUUGUUCGGAAUUACUGGGCGUAAAAGCGCACGUAGGCGGCUUUGUAAGUUAGAGGUGAAAGCCCGGGGCUCAACUCCGGAAUUGCCUUUAAGACUGCAUCGCUAGAAUUGUGGAGAGGUAAGUGGAAUUCCGAGUGUAGAGGUGAAAUUCGUAGAUAUUCGGAAGAACACCAGUGGCGAAGGCGACUUACUGGACACAUAUUGACGCUGAGGUGCGAAAAGCGUGGGGAGCAAACAGG
This 256-nucleotide ribosomal RNA is filed under the name uncultured bacterium. RNAcentral's name for it is "partial 16S ribosomal RNA". It matches the Rfam family "Bacterial small subunit ribosomal RNA", at positions 524 to 776 of the family's 1533-position model. The record is from RNAcentral.